GCCCCGUUAGCUCAGACGGCAGAGCGUCUCCAUGGUAAGGAGAAGGUCCACAGUUCGAUUCUGUGACGGGGCU
RNAcentral lists this transfer RNA (73 nucleotides) under Actinomycetota bacterium. RNAcentral describes it as "Actinobacteria bacterium tRNA-Thr". It matches the Rfam family "tRNA". From Rfam's summary of the family: Transfer RNA (tRNA) molecules are approximately 80 nucleotides in length. Their secondary structure includes four short double-helical elements and three loops (D, anti-codon, and T loops). Further hydrogen bonds mediate the characteristic L-shaped molecular structure. tRNAs have two regions of fundamental functional importance: the anti-codon, which is responsible for specific mRNA codon recognition, and the 3' end, to which the tRNAs corresponding amino acid is attached (by aminoacyl-tRNA synthetases). tRNAs cope with the degeneracy of the genetic code in two manners: having more than one tRNA (with a specific anti-codon) for a particular amino acid; and 'wobble' base-pairing, i.e. permitting non-standard base-pairing at the 3rd anti-codon position. The record is from RNAcentral. Lineage: Bacteria; Bacillati; Actinomycetota.